CUCACAGAAUGCUUGCGUUUAAAGUCCUCAUCUUUGCGAUGUUAAUAGUGCUGACCCUUGGUCAGUCUUGGCCUCCACAUAUCGGCAGCAUAGGCUACAGGAGAGACGGUAAAAAUAAAGGGCGAAACCAGAAAUUAUAAAUAUUAUAAUAAUAUCAAAACUAUAUGACAAAUUUGUAAAGAAGUUUUUAGUUGCCUUAAUGUUUUCAGAAUGGCUGCAAACAGUCAAAAAAGUCUUUGAAAUAAAUUGUCUUCCUACUAUAUA
This is a long non-coding RNA of Drosophila subpulchrella, 264 nucleotides long. RefSeq lists it as uncharacterized. The record is from RefSeq and is a predicted model, not a curated record. The transcript is spliced from 2 exons. NCBI's taxonomy places the organism in Eukaryota, Metazoa, Arthropoda, Insecta, Diptera, Drosophilidae.